GUUUCAGGAUCAAAGGUGGCCUCUACAUGUAAGCUACUGUUUGGGGAUGAGCCCGCGUACCAUUAGCUUGUUGGUAGGGUAAUGUCCUACCAAGGCUACGAUGGUUAGCUGGUCUGAGAGGAUGAUCAGCCACACUGGAACUGACACACGGUCCAGACUCCUACGGGAGACAGCAGUGAGGAAUUUUGCGCAAUGGGGGAAACCCUGACGCAGCAACGCCGCGUGAGUGAUGAAGGCUUUCGGGUCGUAAAGCUCUGUCAAGUGGGAACUCAUAUGGUGUUAAUACUGCCAUAUGCUGACGGUACCACUGAAGGAAGCACCGGCUAACUCCGUGCCAGCAGCCGCGGUAAUACGGGGGGUGCGAGCGUUAUUCGGAAUUACUGGGCGUAAAGAGCGCGUAGGCGGUCUUUUAAGUCAGGUGUGAAAGCCCGGGGCUCAACCCCGGAAGUGCACUUGAAACUAAGAGACUUGAGUAUGGGAGAGGGAAGUGGAAUUCCUGGUGUAGCGGUGAAAUGCGUAGAUAUCAGGAGGAACAUCGGUGGCGAAGGCGACUUCCUGGACCAAUACUGACGCUGAGGCGCGAAGGCGUGGGGAGCAAACAGGAUUAGAUACCCUGGUAGUCCACGCAGUAAACGGUGAACACUAGGUGUAGCGGGUAUUGACCCCUGCUGUGCCGCAGCAAACGCAUUAAGUGUUCCGCCUGGGGAGUACGGCCGCAAGGUUAAAACUCAAAGGAAUUGACGGGGGCCCGCACAAGCGGUGGAGCAUGUGGUUUAAUUCGACGCAACGCGAAGAACCUUACCUAGGUUUGACAUCCCGGGAAUUCUGUGGAAACACGGAAGUGCCCUUCGGGGAGCCCGGUGACGGGUGCUGCAUGGCUGUCGUCAGCUCGUGUCGUGAGGUGUUGGGUUAAGUCCCGCAACGAGCGCAACCCCUUUCUUUAGUUACCAUCAUUUAGUUGGGGACUCUAAAGAUACUGCCCCGGUUAACGGGGAGGAAGGUGGGGAUGACGUCAAGUCCUCAUGGCCUUUAUACCUAGGGCUACACACGUGCUACAAUGGACUGUACAAAGGGUUGCCAGCCUGUGAAGGUGAGCCAAUCCCAUAAAGCAGUUCGUAGUUCGGAUUGGAGUCUGCAACCCGACUCCAUGAAGCUGGAAUCGCUAGUAAUCGUGGAUCAGAACGCCACGGUGAAUACGUUCCCGGGCCUUGUACACACCGCCCGUCACACCAUGAGAGUUGGUUGUACCAGAAGUCGUUGGGCAAACCUUUCGAGGACGCAGGCGCCUAAGGUAUGGCUGAUGAUUGGGGUGAAGUCGUAACAAGGUA
Molecule: ribosomal RNA, 1328 nt
Filed under: metagenome
Description: bacterial SSU rRNA
Rfam family: Bacterial small subunit ribosomal RNA
Source: RNAcentral